Unclassified non-coding RNA from Callithrix jacchus (white-tufted-ear marmoset), 117 nucleotides. It matches the Rfam family "Metazoan signal recognition particle RNA". Rfam says of the family: The signal recognition particle (SRP) is a universally conserved ribonucleoprotein. NCBI's taxonomy places the organism in Eukaryota, Metazoa, Chordata, Mammalia, Primates, Cebidae. The record is from Ensembl.
GCUGGGUGUGGUGGCUCACACCUGUAAUCCCAGCACUUUGGGGAGCUGAGGCAGGUGGAUCACUUGAGGUCAGGAGUUUGAGACCAUCCUGGCCAAUAUGGUGAAAUCCUGUCUCUU